This is a long non-coding RNA of Gracilinanus agilis (Agile Gracile Mouse Opossum), 2069 nucleotides long. RefSeq lists it as uncharacterized. The transcript is spliced from 4 exons. The record is from RefSeq and is a predicted model, not a curated record. NCBI's taxonomy places the organism in Eukaryota, Metazoa, Chordata, Mammalia, Didelphimorphia, Didelphidae.
GACCCAGAAAGUCUUCUUCAGCCCCUGAGACCUUUAAAUCCCAUGUUGUGAGACAAAAAAGAAAAGUUGUAAGCUUCUUGAGGUCGGGACUUCCAUUCAUUUUUGCUUCUUACUUAACGGUGUCAACCUGGAAUAAAGAGGACUACCAAAGAAGCGACAACAAGGGUCUCUAAUCCAGGGGAAGGCCAAGAAAAUGGACACCAUGAUUAAUUUUGGAGAAUGCAAAUCUCUAGUUGCUCUCCCCAGAAGUCUGUAUGUUGCUGAGCAAAUUUUAGCAUACCCAGUUUGAAAAGGAAAAGGACACCGGAAAUCUUGCUGGGGUAGAGUGAGUCUUGGGUGCUGAGAGUCCAAGCCAGGGUCAGGUGUGCCUGAUGGAUGGCCGGAGGUGGGGUGUGUUCUGCAACUAGAGAUGGGAGCAAGAGUGGAAGUAAUCAGAGUCUGGAGAGCAAGCCAGGUGCCGAGCUGGGGAUUAGGUCAGCAAGUGGGGCCUGAAGCUCUAGAGAAUCUGCCCAGCUUGCAAUGGAAUCACAACAAUUGCAGACCAAGCACAACAGCAGGUGAUCCAACGGCAAUGGAAAGACGAGUGGUAAUAAAUUGUGGUAUGAGAAUGCAACGGGAUAUUAUUGAAUCAUGAGAAAUGAAAGACUGAAGACAUUCAGAGGGACUUGGCUAGAUUUGCACAAACCAAUAUGGAACAAAGUGAACAGGAUAAGGAGAAUGAUUUACAUGAUGACUGCAAUAAUGUAAAGAGAAACAACACGGGAAAACUUCAGAGCUCUGCCCAUUGGAAGGCUCACCGGUGAACCUGAAGGAUGGAGGCUUCUGAGGUCAUGCCUCCUGCCUUUCUGCAGAGAGGUGCUGGGUUCCAGGUGUGGAAUGAAGCUUCCAGUUUCAGACAUUGCCUAUGUGUUACUGUUUUGAUUUACUUACAAAGAAAAGGCUCAGGGAUGAGUGGUUACUAGUAAUAAUUAUGUAACAAAAAGGCACCAAUAAAACAUUUUUGAAAGGACAAAUGGUGGGUUCAAGCUGUCUAUUACCAGUGAUCACUGGUGAAGGAGAGGCGGUAUUGGGGAUUCCAUCAAGGGCAUGGAUGAGCAGAAAAGGAGGUGGGUUGGAUAGGUAGUGGGACUGAAGAAAAUAGAUGAACAGCUUGGGUGUUGUACUGAUGUCUACAAAAUAUUUUUAAAAAAAAACCCAGGGAUAAUGUCCCAUGUUGGUUAGGCUCUUUAUGGAGGAUUUUGGGGAGAUGAAUGAAUGAAAAAAAAUUUAUUAAGCACUUAAUAUGUACCCUUCUGUUCCAGGGAAUACAAAUAUAAAAGUGGGAAAGUCCCUGUCCUCAAGGAGCUUACACUCUAAUAGUAGGAGAUAAGACAUAUAGAAGAGAGAUGGAUAGAGAGGGAUCUUUGGUCCGGGAAGUCACAGGGCUAGAGGGGCCCAUAUCGCUGUCAAUGGACACAUUCUUUCCAGAAACAAUAGUUAUAUUAAUUUAAUACUGUGUCCAAAGCAAUGGGUCGAAGGGGUCCAGAGUUAGAGAUGAGAGGGUAUGUGCUCUGGCAGGGUGGUAGGUAGCAAGAUACUAGUGGAUGAUGUGAUGCUAUGUAACACAAAAUAUUGGAUCAGUUAGAUAUAGUGGGCUAGGUGAGUUUGUCCUCACUCAUCUGUCAGGGCAGCUGAGCCUUAGGGUCAACUUCCAAAGCUGAGAGGAAUAGCUGGAAGGAGGGAGGGGAAGUAUGGUAUCUAGAGAUCAGAUACAGAGGAUAGACGCCCCAGGUAGGGGAGGUGGGGUAGUAACAGGGCAGAUGGUAACAGGUAUGGACAAAACCUGCACAGAAAGAAUAGGUACAGAUGGACGUGAUCUGCUUUGGUGGAGGCACCAUGGAUGGAUCAAUGGAUGAUUGAAGUAUUUCUACUUUGAUUUCAAAAGAUUUCUUGCCUUCUAAAUUUAUCUGGGACUUCUCAUGUGUUGAAGCAUAUGAAUUUUGUGAACCUUCCAGUAUAUAUUUGAUAAAUGUAUAUUUCUCUAUUUUUUCCAUUAAAUUCUCUCUUUUUAUCUCUCUCUAUCUCUCUUU